UACGAAGGGGGCGAGCGUUGUUCGGAUUUACUGGGCGUAAAGGGCGCGUAGGCGGCCCUCCUUGUCGCGUGUGAAAGCCCCGGGCUCAACCUGGGAAUUGCGCGCGAAACGGGGGGGCUUGAGUUCGGGAGAGGAGCGUGGAAUUCCCAGUGUAGAGGUGAAAUUCGUAGAUAUUGGGAAGAACACCGGUGGCGAAGGCGGCGCUCUGGACCGAGACUGACGCUGAGGCGCGAAGGCCAGGGGAGCAAACGGG
Molecule: ribosomal RNA, 253 nt
Filed under: uncultured bacterium
Lineage: Bacteria
Description: partial 16S ribosomal RNA
Rfam family: Bacterial small subunit ribosomal RNA
Source: RNAcentral